CUCUCCCUAAGAGUUCCUCGGCACCGUGGACAUCUUUUUUAAUCACUACACUUGGUAGUUUUGGUUUAAUUUGACUAAGCUAGGGAGGGUGGCUUGUCCACGGUGCUGAGGCACUUUUAGGGAGAGAUUUAUUGAGGUCUCCAUGGACAUGGGUUUUCUCAUAUAGGGCCCCCUAUCCUCCUCUCUCCCCUUACCUACAUUGUUUAAUUGCCUUUUCCUCUCAUUUGUUCACUGCUCUAGGGUAUAUAUCAUAUUGGGGUGGCAUUUAGAGGCUCCUACAUUCCUUCUCUACUUUUUUGCUUAGAGAGAGGAUACCCUUGAGCACUGUUUAGACAAAUCUUCCCUAAUUAUCUUGGUUUUUUUUAACCCGAUU
Molecule: non-coding RNA, 373 nt
Organism: Pelobates cultripes (western spadefoot toad)
Lineage: Eukaryota; Metazoa; Chordata; Amphibia; Anura; Pelobatidae
Source: the annotation of a GenBank genome assembly